AUGACAAGCAGAAAUUGAUGAAAAAAGGACAAAUCGAAGCUCCGAUAAGCCGAUUUACCGAUGAGAGUCAGCACCUCUAUCAAAAGAAUCAUUUUUCCGUCCAAGAAUCGUUCAUCUCCACAAAAAGACGAACAAAAAACUAUCCGACCUUCAAAUCCAUGAGCUUCUUCAACAAAUCUAUCUUUAAGAUGGAGUACGAGGGAUCUCAAUGAGGCUGUUACUGUGAACGCAUGGUAACCAUUUGAUACUGAAAGUUGCAUUUUUUGUAAUCUAUCCAUGUGUGAUGAGCUUCUUCAACAAAUCGAGCUUUAAGAUGGCGUACGAGGGAUCGUAAUGAGCCUGUUACUGUGAACACAUGGUAACCAUUUGUUAUUGAAAGUUACAUUUUUUGUAAUUAUUGGAGUUGAAAUGAAAUGAUAUGCAUUUAGAAAACUUACUUCCAAAAUGAAAUACAAGGAGGCUAUAUAAACAGCAUACGGGAACGGACCACAAGUCCAGCUGGUGUAACUAACUCUAACUAAACUAACUUUCCAACUGAUUGACUAACCAACUAACUAAUUUAUAUACAGGUUUCAUAUCUAUAUUUGCGGCUCUAAUACUCGCCCUCAAGUUGUACUGUAAAUGUUUUUGACAGACAUCUUGGACAAUAAAGAACUAAGUGCAACAGCAUGAAGUGGUUUAGUGAAGAUAUCUGCGAGUUGGUGUCGUGAUUGGAUUGGAAGAAGCUUAACUAGGCCAGCUGCAAUUUUAUCUCGAAUGAAGUGGCAAUCAAUCUCGAUAUGUUUGGUUCUUUCGUGAAAGAUGGGAUUGGUGGCAAUUUGGAUCGCCCUUGAUUGUCACAGAACAGAACAGCUGGAGAUGCUUCAGGAAUCUGAAAAUCUUUUAACAAUUGAGUGAUCCAAAUGAUUUCACUAACGGUGGCAGCAAGUGCACGGUAUUCUGCCUCAGCUGAAGACCGUGAGACCGUGGAUUGUCUUUUGGCUUUCCAAGAGAUCAGUGAAUCUCCAGUGAAUAUGCAGAAACCAGUGGUAGACUUUCUUGUGUCAAGGCAAGCACCCCAAUCAGCAUCUAAAAAGGUAUGAAGUUUGAUGGGAAGAAAAUACCCUGACCAGGGCUGCUCUUCAAGUAACGAAGAAGGUGGUGUGCUGCUUUGAGAUGAGGUAAAUGAGGUUGAGCAAGAAACUGACUCAAUUUAUGUACAGCAUAGGUAAUGUCAGGUCUGGACAAUGUCAAGUAGAUUAACCUUCCAAUUAGUUGCCUGUACUGUGAAGAAUCUGGUAAUAAGUCUCUUUCAUGUAAGCUAAGGCAUGCCUUUGGAUCCAUGGGUGUAUUAAUCGGUUUGCAGUCUAAAUAACCGGCAUCUUCAAGUAAUUGUAAUGUGUAAUGCCUUUGAGAAAUGACCAUACCUAAUUUUGAACGAGCAAUCUCAAUACCUAAAAAAUACUUCAGACAGCCUAAAUCCUUAAGCUUGAAUUGAGAAUAUAAGAACUCUUUUAAAGAGUCAAUAACCUGUGAAUUGGGACCAGUAAUGACGAUGUCAUCGACAUAUACUAAUAGUGCCACAAAGCUAUUCCCAGAUCCUUUGGUAAAUAAAGAAUAGUCAGCUUUAGACUGUAUAAAUCCAUAUUGGAUGAGAACUUGUGAGGACUUUGAACUCCACUAGCGUGAUGCUUGUUUAAGUCCAUAUAUAGACUUGUGCAACUUGCAUACUAAUCUUUCUCCCUUGUUGACAGUGUUCUAAGUUUUAUAGCCAAGAGGAAGAUCCAUGUACACUUCCUCAAAUAAGUCUCCAUUCAAGAAUGCGUUAUUGACAUCUAGUUGGACCAAAUGCCAAUUAUUGUAAGCAGCAAGAGCAAGGAGCAGUUUAACAGUUACUAUCUUAGCCACAGGAGAUAAUGGUGUCGAAAUAGUCAAGACCCUCUUGUUGUGUGUAGCCUUUGGCAACAAGACGAGUUUGUGUCUUUCAAUUGAUCCAUCUGAAUUAUAUUUUAUAUUGUAAAUCCAUCAGCAACCUACAAAAUGCUUAUCCUUUGGUAAGGGAACUACAGACCAGGUAUGGUUGAGUUCCGUAGCCUCAAGUUCAAGCUCCAUAGCUUCACGCCACUGUGGAAAUUUAACUGCUUGAUGAUAGAAUUGUGGUUCAAUUUGAGAUGAGACACUUAAAGUGAAGUUGCGAUGACCUGGGGAUAACUUCGCAUAAGAGAUGAAGUGACUAAUGUUGUGAGGUGAUUGGGAAGGAUUGCUAGAAUUCGGUGAAACCAUGUUACAAUGAAAAUCUUUGAGAUAUUUUGGAGGAUUGCGAAUUCUCUGUGAUGUCCUAACAUUAUUUUGAAUAAGGAUGGAUUGAAUGGGUUGGAUGUCAUGAGAUGUGUCUUCUUGGGAUGAGGUAGGUCCAGUAACAUGUUCAAUGGAAUCAUUACUGGUAUAAUGCGGAAUGAAUCUGUGAGUUGAUUACCUUUAAUGACAGUGUAAAAGGGGAAUACAAUUUCAUGAAAAACAACAUCACGUGACAAGAAAACCUGCUUUGUAAUGAUAUCAUAGAGCUUAUAGCCUUUUACGCCGGGUGGGUAUCCCAGAAAAAUGCAUAUUCUAGCCCGAGGUUGGAACUUGUUUCUCUGUGCAGACAAUGUAGAAGCAAAUGCAAGACAUCCAAACACCCUAAGUGAAGAAUGAUCAACUGAUUUAGUGUGCAGUAUUUCAUAGGGAGUUUUGUGCUUCAAGAGAGGAGAUGGAGUUCUGUUGAUUAGGAAAGUAGUUGUUAAUACACAUUCAGACCAGAAUUCGAUUGGGACUCUGGACUGAAAAUACAAGGCUCUUGCAACAUUCAAUAGGUGCUGGUGUUUUCGUUCCACAACCAAGUUUUGUUGUGGCCUUUCUACACAGCUGAAUUGGUGCAAAGUCCCCUUUUCAGCAUGUAAUGUGUAAUGCCUUUGAGAAAUGACCAUACCUAAUUUUGAACGAGCAAUCUCAAUACCUAAAAAAUACUUCAGACAGCCUAAAUCCUUCAGCUUGAAUUGAGAAUAUAAGAACUCUUUUAAAGAGUCAAUAACAUGUGAAUUGGGACCAGUAAUGACGAUGUCAUCGACAUAUACUAUUAGUGCCACAAAGUUAUUCCCAGAUCCUUUGAUAAAUAAAGAAUAGUCAGCUUUAGACUGUAUAAAUCCAUAUUGGAUGAGAACUUGUGAGAACUUUGAACUCCACUGGCGUGAUGCUUGUUUAAGUCCAUAUAUAGACUUGUGCAACUUGCAUACUAAUCUUUCUCCCUUGUUGACAAUUUCUGAGUUUUAUAGCCAAGAGGAAGAUCCAUGUACACUUUCUCAAAUAAGUCUCCAUUCAAGAAUGCGUUAUUGACAUCUAGUUG
RNAcentral lists this long non-coding RNA (3361 nucleotides) under Olea europaea (common olive). RNAcentral's name for it is "long non-coding RNA (OEUR_LNC000680)". The record is from RNAcentral. Lineage: Eukaryota; Viridiplantae; Streptophyta; Magnoliopsida; Lamiales; Oleaceae.